Molecule: unclassified non-coding RNA, 314 nt
Filed under: plant metagenome
Description: partial contains 5.8S ribosomal RNA, internal transcribed spacer 2, and large subunit ribosomal RNA
Rfam family: 5.8S ribosomal RNA (bases 1-105)
Source: RNAcentral
GAAAUGCGAUAAUUAAUGUGAAUUGCAGAAUUCAGUGAAUCAUCGAGUCUUUGAACGCACAUUGCGCCCCCUGGUAUUCCGGGGGGCAUGCCUGUCCGAGCGUCAUUGCUGCCCUCAAGCACGGCUUGUGUGUUGGGCUUCCGUCCCUGGCAACGGGGACGGGCCCAAAAGGCAGUGGCGGCACCAUGUCUGGUCCUCGAGCGUAUGGGGCUUUGUCACCCGCUCCCGUAGGUCCAGCUGGCAGCUAGCCUCGCAACCAAUCUUUUUAACCAGGUUGACCUCGCAUCAGGUAGGGAUACCCGCUGAAGUGAAGC